Molecule: long non-coding RNA, 797 nt
Organism: Xiphophorus hellerii (green swordtail)
Lineage: Eukaryota; Metazoa; Chordata; Actinopteri; Cyprinodontiformes; Poeciliidae
Exons: 3
Source: RefSeq, a predicted model, not a curated record
CCCGGGUGUAAAUUUUAACCUUUAUUUCCUCCUCCGAUUUUCCAGUCUUUUAACAUUUUUAUAUCUCAAACUCCGCGAUGCUUUUAAUAGAAUGAUUGGCGAUUCUCGCGAGACUAUUAAUUAGCCAAUUGCGGUUGAGUAUUGGGGUCACGUGUACCGCUGCAGUGUUACCUGCUAGGUAUAUUAGCUGGAGCGGGGAGGCACGAAGGUUAGAACACGUUGGCAGGAGCAGAGCUGCAGGAGCCAACUGGUGUGAGCCAGAAGGGAGAUGGAAAAAAAAUAAACCCCGGUAGGGUGAGAUAAAACGGCGGAACUGGCCAGGUUGAUGGCGAGCUAGAAGAUCGGGCAUAGAGCCAAAGAAAGAGUUCACUCUUUUUAGGGUGAUCGAAGACUUCAGUUUCCUACCCGGAUUUGAGCCAAGCAAAGCAUAAUUAUCUUGUUGAGAGCCCUAAUUGAUCCCAAUUUGGGAUGAAUGGACUAACAGGUGUGGACUCUCAAUUGUGAAACUCUGGGAACAACUGAUUGCUUUAGUUUCCUUUGUUGUUGUGUUCUUUAUUUAUUUUUUCUUUUGUUUGUUAAUGGCCAUUUGGAUGUUCCCAAUAAUAUUGUAAAUAUGUAUAUAUAUUAUUCACAUUGCAAAUAUAAACCAACUUGCAACUGCAAUUUCCAGCCUAUCUGCUCUUUUUGAGUCGCACUUACUUAUCUUCUGAAGGAAAAAAAAACUAGCCAUUUACCUUAUUGGUCAAAAUCCAAUUAUAUUGAAUAGCAAUAUAGAAUAUUGUUGUUCUUAUAAAUAU